RNAcentral lists this ribosomal RNA (424 nucleotides) under uncultured prokaryote. RNAcentral's name for it is "bacterial SSU rRNA". It matches the Rfam family "Bacterial small subunit ribosomal RNA", at positions 355 to 796 of the family's 1533-position model. The record is from RNAcentral.
UGGGGAAUCUUGCACAAUGGGCGAAAGCCUGAUGCAGCCAUGCCGCGUGAGUGAAGAAGGCCCUAGGGUUGUAAAGCUCUUUCGGCGGGGAAGAUAAUGACGGUACCCGCAGAAGAAGCCCCGGCUAACUCCGUGCCAGCAGCCGCGGUAAUACGGAGGGGGCUAGCGUUGUUCGGAAUUACUGGGCGUAAAGCGCGCGUAGGCGGAUCGUUAAGUCAGGGGUGAAAGCCUGGGGCUCAACCUCAGAAUAGCCCUUGAUACUGGCGAUCUAGAGUCCGGAAGAGGUGAGUGGAAUUCCCAGUGUAGAGGUGAAAUUCGUAGAUAUUGGGAAGAACACCGGUGGCGAAGGCGGCUCACUGGUCCGGAACUGACGCUGAGGUGCGAAAGCGUGGGGAGCAAACAGGAUUAGAUACCCCCGUAGUCC